AGAGUUUGAUCCUGGCUCAGGAUGAACGCUGGCGGCGUGCUUAACACAUGCAAGUCGAACGAAGCACUUUAUUUGAUUUCCUUCAGGACUGAUUAUUUUGUGACUGAGUGGCGGACGGGUGAGUAACGCGUGGGUAACCUGCCUUGUACAGGGGGAUAACAGUUGGAAACGGCUGCUAAUACCGCAUAAGCGCACGGCAUCGCAUGAUGCAGUGUGAAAAACUCCGGUGGUAUAAGAUGGACCCGCGUUGGAUUAGCUAGUUGGUGAGGUAACGGCCCACCAAGGCGACGAUCCAUAGCCGACCUGAGAGGGUGACCGGCCACAUUGGGACUGAGACACGGCCCAAACUCCUACGGGAGGCAGCAGUGGGGAAUAUUGCACAAUGGGCGAAAGCCUGAUGCAGCGACGCCGCGUGAGCGAAGAAGUAUUUCGGUAUGUAAAGCUCUAUCAGCAGGGAAGAUAAUGACGGUACCUGACUAAGAAGCACCGGCUAAAUACGUGCCAGCAGCCGCGGUAAUACGUAUGGUGCAAGCGUUAUCCGGAUUUACUGGGUGUAAAGGGAGCGCAGGCGGUGCGGCAAGUCUGAUGUGAAAGCCCGGGGCUCAACCCCGGUACUGCAUUGGAAACUGUCGUACUAGAGUGUCGGAGGGGUAAGCGGAAUUCCUAGUGUAGCGGUGAAAUGCGUAGAUAUUAGGAGGAACACCAGUGGCGAAGGCGGCUUACUGGACGAUAACUGACGCUGAGGCUCGAAAGCGUGGGGAGCAAACAGAAAAGGAUACCCUGGUAGUCCACGCCGUAAACG
RNAcentral lists this ribosomal RNA (802 nucleotides) under uncultured bacterium. RNAcentral's name for it is "bacterial SSU rRNA". It matches the Rfam family "Bacterial small subunit ribosomal RNA", at positions 8 to 808 of the family's 1533-position model. The record is from RNAcentral.